GAUCCCAUCCCGAACUCAGUAGUGAAACGCGUCAUCGCCGAUGGUAGUGUGGGGUCUCCCCAUGUGAGAGUAGGUCAUCGCCAGGC
This 86-nucleotide ribosomal RNA is filed under the name Nitrincola sp. A-D6. Lineage: Bacteria; Pseudomonadati; Pseudomonadota; Gammaproteobacteria; Oceanospirillales; Oceanospirillaceae. The record is from RNAcentral.